GCUAAUACCGCAUACGUCCUACGGGAGAAAGCAGGGGACCUUCGGGCCUUGCGCUAUCAGAUGAGCCUAGGUCGGAUUAGCUAGUUGGUGAGGUAAUGGCUCACCAAGGCGACGAUCCGUAACUGGUCUGAGAGGAUGAUCAGUCACACUGGAACUGAGACACGGUCCAGACUCCUACGGGAGGCAGCAGUGGGGAAUAUUGGACAAUGGGCGAAAGCCUGAUCCAGCCAUGCCGCGUGUGCGAAGAAGGUCUUCGGAUUGUAAAGCACUUUAAGUUGGGAGGAAGGGCAUUUACCUAAUACGUAAGUGUUUUGACGUUACCGACAGAAUAAGCACCGGCUAACUCUGUGCCAGCAGCCGCGGUAAUACAGAGGGUGCAAGCGUUAAUCGGAAUUACUGGGCGUAAAGCGCGCGUAGGUGGUUCGUUAAGUUGGAUGUG
Molecule: ribosomal RNA, 439 nt
Filed under: Pseudomonas frederiksbergensis
Lineage: Bacteria; Pseudomonadati; Pseudomonadota; Gammaproteobacteria; Pseudomonadales; Pseudomonadaceae
Description: bacterial SSU rRNA
Rfam family: Bacterial small subunit ribosomal RNA
Source: RNAcentral